UACGUAGGUGGCAAGCGUUGUCCGGAAUUAUUGGGCGUAAAGCGCGCGCAGGUGGUUUCUUAAGUCUGACGUGAAAGCCCACGGCUCAACCGUGGAGGGUCAUUGGAAACUGGGGAACUUGAGUGCAGGAGAGAAGAGUGGAAUUCCACGUGUAGCGGUGAAAUGCGUAGAGAUGUGGAGGAACACCAGUGGCGAAGGCGACUCUUUGGCCUGUAACUGACACUGAGGCGCGGAAGCGUGGGGAGCAAACAGG
This 253-nucleotide ribosomal RNA is filed under the name uncultured bacterium. RNAcentral describes it as "partial 16S ribosomal RNA". It matches the Rfam family "Bacterial small subunit ribosomal RNA", at positions 524 to 776 of the family's 1533-position model. The record is from RNAcentral.